GGAAGAUGGUGACUGUGAAGGUGAGGAAAGGGUGCUCGUCCAUGGCCGACGACGGCAGUGGUAUGCAGACGACGAAGCUAAUGGCGGCAAACACCAGCAGCCAGACCACUAGAGGAUACACGAUUCCGGGCAGGUACACCAAUACAGGGUAUACAGUUCCGGCCAGGUAGCCAGGAAGAGCAAAAAUUGUAUCCAAUGGCGUUCUCAUCACCACCACUGUGAGGAAGAUGGUGACUGUGAAGGUGAGGAAGGUGUGCCCAGGCCUGGCUGACGGCAGCGGUAUGCAGACGACGAAGCUAAUGGCGGCAAACACCAGCAGCCAGACCACUAGAGGAUACACGAUUCCGGGCAGGUAGCCAGCAAGGCUUACAAGAGUAUCUCGAGGAGUUGUCAUCACCACCGCUGUAAGGAAGAUGCUGACAGUGGAGAUGAGCAAAGGGUGCUCGUCCAUGGCCGACGACGGCAGCGGUAUGCAGACGACGAAGCUAAUGGCGGCAAACACCAGCAGCCAGACCACUAGAGGAUACACGAUUCCGGGCAGGUANNN
This 547-nucleotide long non-coding RNA is filed under the name Hordeum vulgare. RNAcentral describes it as "long non-coding RNA (HVUL_LNC012842)". Lineage: Eukaryota; Viridiplantae; Streptophyta; Magnoliopsida; Poales; Poaceae. The record is from RNAcentral.